RNAcentral lists this ribosomal RNA (252 nucleotides) under uncultured bacterium. RNAcentral describes it as "partial 16S ribosomal RNA". It matches the Rfam family "Bacterial small subunit ribosomal RNA", at positions 524 to 776 of the family's 1533-position model. The record is from RNAcentral.
UACAGAGGUCCCAAGCGUUGUUCGGAUUCACUGGGCGUAAAGGGUGCGUAGGCGGUCGGGUAAGUCUGAUGUGAAAUCUCACAGCUUAACUGUGAAACUGCAUUGAAUACUAUUCGGCUCGAGAGUUGGAGGGGGACUGGAAUUCUCGGUGUAGCAGUGAAAUGCGUAGAGAUGUGGAGGAACACCGAUGGCGAAGGCAGCCCCCUGGGUCAAGAUUGACGCUCAUGCACGAAAGCGUGGGGAGCAAACAGG